Mastomys coucha (southern multimammate mouse) is the source of this 127-nucleotide long non-coding RNA. RefSeq lists it as uncharacterized. The transcript is spliced from 2 exons. Lineage: Eukaryota; Metazoa; Chordata; Mammalia; Rodentia; Muridae. The record is from RefSeq and is a predicted model, not a curated record.
AUAACUUCUUCUAAUCACCAUCUAUAAGCAGAUGAGGCAAUUAUCAAUCUUCAUCUUCUACUACAACUAAGUCAAAUGGACCAAGAUCCAACCAUCCAUCCCACAAAGACCUCUGUUUUGCUGACUA